This 253-nucleotide ribosomal RNA is filed under the name uncultured bacterium. RNAcentral describes it as "partial 16S ribosomal RNA". It matches the Rfam family "Bacterial small subunit ribosomal RNA", at positions 524 to 776 of the family's 1533-position model. The record is from RNAcentral.
UACGAGGGGGGCUAGCGUUGCUCGGAAUUACUGGGCGUAAAGCGCACGUAGGCGGCUUUCUAAGUCGGGGGUGAAAUCCUGGAGCUCAACUCCAGAACUGCCUUCGAUACUGGAGAGCUUGAGUCCGGGAGAGGUGAGUGGAACUGCGAGUGUAGAGGUGAAAUUCGUAGAUAUUCGCAAGAACACCAGUGGCGAAGGCGGCUCACUGGCCCGGUACUGACGCUGAGGUGCGAAAGCGUGGGGAGCAAACAGG